RNAcentral lists this ribosomal RNA (422 nucleotides) under uncultured prokaryote. RNAcentral describes it as "bacterial SSU rRNA". It matches the Rfam family "Bacterial small subunit ribosomal RNA", at positions 355 to 774 of the family's 1533-position model. The record is from RNAcentral.
UGAGGAAUAUUAGUCAAUGGGCGAGAGCCUGAACCAGCCAAGUCGCGUGAAGGAAGAAGGUUCUAUGGAUUGUAAACUUCUUUUGUAAGGGAAUAAAAAGAGUUACGUGUAACUUAUUGUAUGUACUUUACGAAUAAGGAUCGGCUAACUCCGUGCCAGCAGCCGCGGUAAUACGGAGGAUCCAAGCGUUAUCCGGAUUUAUUCGGUUUAAAGGGUGCGUAGGCGGGCCCUUAAGUCAGUGCUGAAAGUUUGCAGCUUAACCGUAAAAUUGCGAUUGAAACUGAGGGUGUUGAGUGUAAAUAAGGUAGGCGGAAUGUGUGGUGUAGCGGUGAAAUGCUUAGAUAUAACACAGAAAACCAAUUGCGAAGGCAGCUUACUGGGAGGCAACUGACACUGAUGCACGAAAGCGUGGGUAUCAAACA